RNAcentral lists this ribosomal RNA (467 nucleotides) under uncultured bacterium. RNAcentral describes it as "partial 16S ribosomal RNA". It matches the Rfam family "Bacterial small subunit ribosomal RNA", at positions 28 to 523 of the family's 1533-position model. The record is from RNAcentral.
GAUUAACGCUGGCGGCGUGCUUAACACAUGCAAGUCGAGCGGGAAACUUCGGUUUCCAGCGGCGGACGGGUGAGUAACACGUGGGCAACCUGCCUCACAAUGAGGGAUAGCCUUCCGAAAGGAAGAUUAAUACCUCAUAACACAAGAGAAACGCAUGUUUCUUUUGCCAAAGAAUUUCGUUGUGAGAUGGGCCCGCGGCGCAUUAGCUUGUUGGUGAGGUAACGGCUCACCAAGGCUUCGAUGCGUAGCCGACCUGAGAGGGUGAUCGGCCACAUUGGAACUGAGACACGGUCCAGACUCCUACGGGAGGCAGCAGUGGGGAAUAUUGCACAAUGGAGGAAACUCUGAUGCAGCAACGCCGCGUGAGUGAUGAAGGUCUUCGGAUUGUAAAGCUCUGUCUUCUGGGACGAUAAUGACGGUACCAGAGGAGGAAGCCAUGGCUAACUACGUGCCAGCCGCCGCCGUAA